Small nucleolar RNA from Choloepus hoffmanni (Hoffmann's two-fingered sloth), 74 nucleotides. Lineage: Eukaryota; Metazoa; Chordata; Mammalia; Pilosa; Megalonychidae. The record is from Ensembl.
GUACACUGACGAUCUUGUUGGGCCGUCGUGUCUGGGCCACUGAGCCACAGUGAUGAAGCAGAGGGCCCAAGGAG